CCAUUAUAACUGUAAUUGUCAAAGUAUCUAGAUGUUACUGAUUGAAGCGCCAAAUUCAAACUGGUCCUGGCGGGUCUUGCACUGCAAUGUCUCGUCCCUUGUGUGGCGUAAUGUGAAAUCAUUGAAAAGCUUGUGUGAAUUGAAGGCUUGGCUUAAUACUGUGUUAUAUCUCAGCUUAUCAUUAUUAAGUAUUUACCAUUUGACGUUAAAAAACAACAAUACUCCACAGAGAUAUCCAAGUAUAACAGAGGCUUCCAUACUGUAGCUAAUGAUCAACAGAGAAUUACCAGCCUUUCUCUGUGUGUCAAGGAGAGCCCUUAGGGAAACGUUCGUGUGCGUGUGUGUGUGUGUGUGUGUGUGUGGUAUGGAAAGAUAUAAUUGCUUAAAAAAUAAGUACAGCCUCUCUCUCUCUCUCUCUCUCUCUCUCUCUCUCUCUCUCUCUCUCUCUCUCUCUCUCUCUCUCUCUCUCUCUCUCUCUCUCUCUCUCUCUCUCUACGUAUUUUGCCUGUCUGCCCUCGUGUGUGUGUGUGUGUGUGUGUGUGUGUGUGUGUAUCUCAUUUAUUUAUUUAAGUUAUUUUUCUUCUUCACGCAGAUAGUAAUUGACGAACACAACACACCACGUGGAGAGAAGCAAGGUGUGGAGUACCCAAGCCUCUCACAGUCCAUGCUAGUAGACUCACCCUGCAUGUGGAGAUCUCCCAAAAUGCACGGAGGUUAUUCCAGAGCUGCAGGACAGAGUACUUGAGGCCAUUGGUGAACAGAAAGCUGAGGUUGAACAAAGCCAAGAAUUGAUAGCUGCCCAAGGUGUAAGCAAGAUUCACAAUGAUGAGGUCAUUGUGACGUGUGCAAUGUGUCCACUGGUCUUGGCCUUCCUGACCAAGGCAGCCACACAAAGGAAAUUCCACGUUAUUGUUGCCGAACGUGCCCCUAAAUAUGAUGUAAGGUGUUUUAUGCGUCUCUUUCACGUCAUCGUGUCUGAUGUGCACAAUACAUAACACAGGGACUGCCACAUGUAGGGGUGAUGGCUUCUUGCAGCUUCCUUUAUUUUAUUACGUUCUUAUGUUCUCAAUACAUCUUUUACUUGUGCAGGGUCACCCAGUGGCAAAAGCUUUAUGUACUGCUGGAAUUGAGACAACAUUAAUUCAAGACUCUGCAGUGUUCCCCAUCAUGUCACGUGUCAACAAGGUCAUCAAAGGUCAUCGUUGGCACCGAGACGGUGGUGACCAACGGAGGCAUUGAGACCUUUGUUGGUGCAGCCUCUCUUGCCUCACCACCAAAGUUUUAUUCUGUUCCACUGUAUGUGUGCACUCCCACAUACAAAUUUAGCUUGAUGGGCUGUGAUGAAAUAAGCCACCAAACCACCACUUCUAUUAUCCCAGAGGGAACAAAGUUUUGGCCGUCUGUAAAUACUGCGCUGACUCAGCUAGAUUACGUUCCUCCAGAAAAUGUCACCAGUUUGAUAACUAACAAUCGAGGUACCGCACCAUCCUACGUGUACCGGCAGCUUAGCGAACUGUACCGUCCCACUUCUUGUGAUCUCUAAGAUAACAGCUUUAAUCCUUGCAAAUAAGGAAUAAGAGAAAAGAGACACACCUGCCAUUUGUAUUGUUAUGCUGUAGUGUUCUGUCAUUUUUUUCCUCUUUUAUCCUAGAACCAUUUUUGGUCAUUCAUGUUUAUAAAAAUUAUUAUACAAAAAUGUUGAGCUUAAUAUGUUUGGUGUAGUUUUUUGUAACAUGUGUUAUUGUUAAUGUGUGUGGUUCCCCUCAGGAAGAAUGUUGCAGUAUUAGCAGUAAUGUUACAGCCAAUGGAAGUGUCUGUAUUGUGCUUUGGUGGGAGGUUAAUUUGAUGUAUUUUUAGAGUUGUGCAGGAUAUAGCAAGCCCUCAAAAUAAAGAAAAUAACUAUAGAAAA
This is a long non-coding RNA of Scylla paramamosain (green mud crab), 1909 nucleotides long. RefSeq lists it as uncharacterized. The transcript is spliced from 4 exons. The record is from RefSeq and is a predicted model, not a curated record. NCBI's taxonomy places the organism in Eukaryota, Metazoa, Arthropoda, Malacostraca, Decapoda, Portunidae.